This 416-nucleotide ribosomal RNA is filed under the name uncultured euryarchaeote. RNAcentral's name for it is "bacterial SSU rRNA". It matches the Rfam family "Archaeal small subunit ribosomal RNA", at positions 327 to 747 of the family's 1478-position model. The record is from RNAcentral. Lineage: Archaea; Methanobacteriati; Methanobacteriota.
UCGCUGCAUCAGGCUUCCGCCCAUUGUGCAAUAUUCCCCACUGCUGCCUCCCGUAGGCCAGCAUAUAAUGUUGGCUGUCCAAAUGCCUAAAAAGCAUUUGUUAGCAAGGGCCGGGCAAGACCGGUGCCAGCCGCCGCGGUAACACCGGCGGCCCGAGUGGUAACCGUUUUUAUUGGGUCUAAAGGGUCUGUGGCCGGCCAUGUAAGUCCCUUGGGAAAUCUGGCAGCUCAACUGUCAGGCUGCCAGGGGAUACUGCUUGGCUUGGGACCGGGAGAGGUGAGAGGUACUUUGAGGGUAGGGGUGAAAUCUUGUGAUCCUCGGGGGACCACCAGUGGCGAAGGCGUCUCACCAGAACGGGUCCGACGGUAAGGGACGAAAGCUAGGGGCACGAACCGGAUUAGAUACCCUGGUAGUCC